CAAUAGCGUAUAUUUAAGUUGCUGCAGUUAAAAAGCUCGUAGUUGGAUUUCGGGUGGGAAUGGCCGGUCCGCCGUUUCGGUGUGCACUUGCUACGCCCACCUUGCUGCCGGGGACGUGCUCUUGAGUUCACGCUCGGGACACGGAGUCGGCGAGGUUACUUUGAGUAAAUUAGAGUGUUCAAAGCAGGCCUACGCUCUGAAUACAUUAGCAUGGAAUAACACGAUAGGACUCUGGCCUAUCUUGUUGGUCUGUAGGACCGGAGUAAUGAUUAAGAGGGACAGUCGGGGGCACUCGUAUUUCAUUGUCAGGGGUGAAAUUCUUGGAUUUAUGAAAGACGAACUACUGCGAAAGCAUUUGCCAAGGAUGUUUUCAUUAA
This 377-nucleotide ribosomal RNA is filed under the name uncultured eukaryote. RNAcentral describes it as "partial 18S ribosomal RNA". It matches the Rfam family "Eukaryotic small subunit ribosomal RNA", at positions 592 to 976 of the family's 1831-position model. The record is from RNAcentral.